RNAcentral lists this ribosomal RNA (465 nucleotides) under uncultured Klebsiella sp. Its description in RNAcentral is "bacterial SSU rRNA". It matches the Rfam family "Bacterial small subunit ribosomal RNA", at positions 338 to 795 of the family's 1533-position model. The record is from RNAcentral. Lineage: Bacteria; Pseudomonadati; Pseudomonadota; Gammaproteobacteria; Enterobacterales; Enterobacteriaceae.
CCUACGGGAGGCAGCAGUGGGGAAUAUUGCACAAUGGGCGCAAGCCUGAUGCAGCCAUGCCGCGUGUGUGAAGAAGGCCUUCGGGUUGUAAAGCACUUUCAGCGGGGAGGAAGGCGGUGAGGUUAAUAACCUCAUCGAUUGACGUUACCCGCAGAAGAAGCACCGGCUAACUCCGUGCCAGCAGCCGCGGUAAUACGGAGGGUGCAAGCGUUAGUCGGAAUUACUGGGCGUAAAGCGCACGCAGGCGGUCUGUCAAGUCGGAUGUCAAAUCCCCGGGCUCAACCUGGGAACUGCAUUCGAAACUGGCAGGCUAGAGUCUUGUAGAGGGGGGUAGAAUUCCAGGUGUAGCGGUGAAAUGCGUAGAGAUCUGGAGGAAUACCGGUGGCGAAGGCGGCCCCCUGGACAAAGACUGACGCUCAGGUGCGAAAGCGUGGGGAGCAAACAGGAUUAGAUACCCGUGUAGUC